Elusimicrobia bacterium GWA2_56_46 is the source of this 72-nucleotide non-coding RNA. The record is from Rfam. NCBI's taxonomy places the organism in Bacteria, Pseudomonadati, Elusimicrobiota.
GCCGAUGUAGCUCAGCGGUAGAGCAACCGCCUUGUAAGCGGUAGGUCGCCGGUUCAAUCCCGGCCAUCGGCU